GGGUCUGGGAUAAACCCCUGAGAAANUUGGGGGACAAUACCAGAUAGGGCAUCGAUAGCUGGAAUGCGCGAUGUCCAAAAGCUGAGGCGCCCAAGGAUAGGUCUGCGGCCGAUUAGGUUGUUGUUGAUGUAAUGGAUCAACAAGCCUGCAAUCGGUACGGGUUAUGAGAGCAAGAGCCCGGAGAUGGGUUCUGAGAAAAGAACCCAGGUCCUACGGGACGCAUCAGGCGCGAAAACUUUACAAUGUGCGAAAGCACGAUAAGGGAACUCUGAGUGCCUCCUAUGGAGGCUGUUCAGGUGUCUAAAAAUCACUUGAAGUAAGGGCUGGGUAAGACCGGUGCCAGCCGCCGCGGUAACACCGGCAGCCCAAGUGGUAGCCACGAUUAUUGGGUCUAAAGCGUCCGUAGCCGGCCAGGUAAGCUCUUUGGGAAAUUUAACCGCUCAACGGUUAAGCUUUCAGGGAAUACUGCUUGGCUUGGGACCGGGAGAGGUCAGAGAUACUUCAAGGGUAGGGGUGAAAUCCGUUAAUCCUUGAGGGACCACCAGUAGCGAAGGCGUCUGACCAGACCGGGUCCGACGGUGAGGGACGAAGGCUAGGGUCGCGAACCGGAUUAGAUACCCGGGUAGUCCUAGCUGUAAACGAUGCGGGCCAGGUGUUGGCAUUACUGCGAGUGAUGUCAGUGCCGAAGGGAAGCCGUUAAGCCCGCCAUCUGGGGAGUACGGUCGCAAGGCUGAAACUUAA
This 741-nucleotide ribosomal RNA is filed under the name uncultured archaeon. RNAcentral's name for it is "bacterial SSU rRNA". It matches the Rfam family "Archaeal small subunit ribosomal RNA", at positions 117 to 859 of the family's 1478-position model. The record is from RNAcentral.